AUGCUUUUACCGGUAUAUAGGAGCAGUAAUAACUGAGAGCAAAUCAUUCGUUUAUUAAUUAGGCCCUGUUUGGAUGCAUAGUUAAAAAAUUUUAAAAAAUUUUUAUUUUAUGGUUUUAGAGGUUUUAGUCUGAAUGAAAUAUGAAAUUCUGUAACUAUAAAAAAAUUCCAUAGCAUUAUUUUUAACCUGUUUGGAUACAUAUCAUACAAUUCCAUAAUAUUUAUAACAAUUAAAUUUCUAAAAUUUUAAAAUUUAAAAUUCAAAACUCAAAAUUCAAAAUUUAAAAAUAAAAUUUUAAAAAUUAAAAUUCAAAAUUCAAAAUAUAAAAUUAAAAUUAAAAAUUAAAAUUAAAAAAUUAAAUUAGAUUUUAUGUUUUAAAUUUGAAAUUUGGAAUUUGGAAUUUAAAAUUUAAAUUUUGAAAUUUGAAAAUUUAAAUUUUAAAAUUUAAAGUAUACCAUUUAAAAUUUAAAAAAUGUAUAAUUAAAAUUUUAAAUUUUAAAUUUAAUAAUUUAUAAAUUUACAUAUUUAUAAAUUUAAAUUUUAAAAUUUAAGUUUAAAUU
RNAcentral lists this long non-coding RNA (560 nucleotides) under Ananas comosus (pineapple). RNAcentral's name for it is "long non-coding RNA (ACOM_LNC012812)". Lineage: Eukaryota; Viridiplantae; Streptophyta; Magnoliopsida; Poales; Bromeliaceae. The record is from RNAcentral.